Cryphonectria parasitica EP155 is the source of this 93-nucleotide non-coding RNA. The record is from the annotation of a RefSeq genome assembly. NCBI's taxonomy places the organism in Eukaryota, Fungi, Ascomycota, Sordariomycetes, Diaporthales, Cryphonectriaceae.
GCAUCAGUGGUCCAACGGUCAGGAUCCUUGCCUUCCAUUCUCAAUUAUUGAGGACGUUAGCAAGGGGCGGGGGUUCGACUCCCUCCUGAUGCA